UACAGAGGUCUCAAGCGUUGUUCGGAUUCAUUGGGCGUAAAGGGUGCGUAGGCGGCGCGGUAAGUCGGGUGUGAAAUCUCGGAGCUUAACUCCGAAAUUGCACUUGAUACUGCCGUGCUUGAGGACUGGAGAGGAGACUGGAAUUUACGGUGUAGCGGUGAAAUGCGUAGAUAUCGUAAGGAAGACCAGUGGCGAAGGCGGGUCUCUGGACAGUUCCUGACGCUGAGACACGAAGGCCAGGGGAGCAAACGGG
RNAcentral lists this ribosomal RNA (253 nucleotides) under uncultured bacterium. Its description in RNAcentral is "partial 16S ribosomal RNA". It matches the Rfam family "Bacterial small subunit ribosomal RNA", at positions 524 to 776 of the family's 1533-position model. The record is from RNAcentral.